CAGCAAUAUGCUCACCUUGGCCCACUGAGAGCAGAUAUUUCACAGACAAUUUUUUGCUCACCUGUAAAAGUUCGUCUCUCCCCAGCUGAGUAUUGGUUCCCCACCCUUCUCCUUCUUCAGACUCUACUCUAAUCCCCAUGCAUUCCCAGGCUUCCUGGGGCUGAUGUGGGAAGACAAAGGAGGAACCCAGGACCCUAAGAAAAGGCAGCCUUCUGAUACCCACUGCUAUGGGAUCAUUAUAGGAGGGCCAGUACUUGGUGGGUAGUUGUGAGAUGCAGCAUAACUGUGUUCUCUGCAGGCAGGGCUUCUCCCUCAGGCUUGAGUUGUAUUUUCCAUGAACUUGUGCUGGGCCUUCCAGUGCCCAGCUCUUAGUCUUAGAAACUCCUUUGCUGCUAAGACCUUUCAGAGUGAGGCCUGAGGUAAGAGCAAAGCUGAAGGAGAUCAGGUGGCAGGCCUGCUCCAGUCCUGGUCUGGUCCUGGGGAUGAGCAUGUUGUGCAGGAUGGUAGGUUGGUUCUCCCCAUCUCGAGCCUUUGGGUGCUCUGGUUUGUUUGGCAUAUGGGUAUGCACUGGGUUGGUCCCUAGGAUCCUCUGCCUGCCUUUUAGAAUGUAUGAAGUGGUCCUGGUUCCACCCUAAUGUGAAAGAAGAUCUUGCCAUCGUAUAGGCAAGAGCAGUGGGUCCCAACACAAGGCCUAAUGAUGGCCAUCAUAAGAUGAUCAGACCAUCUUUUUGUUAUUUGAGUUACAAUAACAAAGUAGAUCGAAGAUAGGUCCACUCUGUAGAACUAAA
Molecule: long non-coding RNA, 788 nt
Filed under: Homo sapiens (human)
Lineage: Eukaryota; Metazoa; Chordata; Mammalia; Primates; Hominidae
Description: long non-coding RNA NONHSAT154040
Source: RNAcentral